UCAGGGACUUAGGGUACAAUUUAGCAAAAUUUUGUGGUAGGGAGGGUUUGAGUGUUAGGUCAAAAUCAAGAACACGGCGUCGGAGGUUCGCUAGCUGUUCGCCCUGCCACCGCUCGAGCAAGAAGAAGCAGAAUGAACGUCGCUCGCUCUUCGCUGAGCGACAGUGUUAUAUGGAAAAUGGUAUUUUCGAUUUCUGAAAAGUUUGACACGACCUAGGACUCCAAAUUAUCCCCAACUAUAAAUACAAAGGCCGUGAACGAAAAUAAUGGGGUUGCUUCAUUAUGCUUUCAUAGAAGAACACAUUCAUAUCAUUGUGAAGAGAUCCAAAAACACAAUCUACUGGAGAAUUCAUCAAUCCAAUUCUUGUGAUCCGGCAACCGACCGUGUGGGGGAAAACUUCAAAGUUUGUGAAGACAAAACACAUGAAUUUCUUCAUCUGUUGAGGAAGGGACUCUCUCAUUGGGAGAUUGAGAGAGGUGGACGAUAAGCGCAGGAACUGGACAAGAACGGGGGUUCUUGGUAUUCCACUUGGUGAUACAAUCAGCUAGAGACCGGAGGCUGUAUUGGACAGCAAAUUGGGCUGCAGGAGGUAGAUCGGGAAGUUAGCAAAAGACUAGCAGUAUCCACAGCAGUAGAUCGUGAGACUGGAACAGCGGGUCUGACUUAGUACGAAGUUUGGCAUAACUUGUACUUACUGGAUUGGUAUAGUAAAAACUACUGGCUUGGUCUUAGAGUUUUACCCACGUUGGGGUUUCUCCGUCAUCAUAUCAUGAGUUGUGUUUUGCAUUGUUUUAUUUACUUCACGCAAAUUAGCAGUUCAAUAUAGGAAUUAACUGGACUGUAUGUUUAAUCAUCUAGACAAUUAAUUAAAGUGACGUGUUGCUCUGAUGAAUCAAUUCCGCAAUGAGGUCGAAUAAUAAAUUGAUUGGAAAGUAAAUUUGGUAAUAUUUAAAACUUGAAUUUGACGUAACAUAACGUUCUCCGUGAAUUUUCAAAUGGUUGUAGAACGAUCCCUAAACUUUCAGAGCUGAUUCUGGGACUUCAAUGUUGUCUGGCCUGCAAAUGUAGAUUGUUGGAUUGCUGAAGUUGCCAUUGUUUUUGCUUGUGAGUUUCUUACUUUGUAGCCGUAUUUUGCUUUAUGAUUAGUUGAGAUGGUAAAGGGGAGAG
This 1167-nucleotide long non-coding RNA is filed under the name Olea europaea (common olive). Its description in RNAcentral is "long non-coding RNA (OEUR_LNC007860)". The record is from RNAcentral. Lineage: Eukaryota; Viridiplantae; Streptophyta; Magnoliopsida; Lamiales; Oleaceae.